Callithrix jacchus (white-tufted-ear marmoset) is the source of this 4431-nucleotide long non-coding RNA. RefSeq lists it as uncharacterized. The record is from RefSeq and is a predicted model, not a curated record. Lineage: Eukaryota; Metazoa; Chordata; Mammalia; Primates; Cebidae.
UCCCCUAUGUGAAGACAUGGAGAAAAGCAAACCAGGAAGCAAGAAGCAAGUCUUCAGCAGCAGCUGGCCAUGCUGGCACCCUGAUCUUGCACUUCCAGCCUCCAGAACUGUGAGAAACUCAAUUUCUGUUGUGCAAGCCUCCCAGUCUAUGCAUUCUUUUAUGGUGGCCCCAGCAGACUAAGAUGGUGGCUGAGUCAGCCUCCUUCCAUUAUUCUUCCCAGAAGUUCCAGAGGUACUUCUAUUUAUACAUUACUAGCCAGACAUCAUUACCUGGCCACCUUAACUGAAAAAAAGGUGGGUGAGUGUUGUCUCUUUGCUGGGUUCAUCACCCUCUUAAACAAAAUCAGGCUUCUAUGACCAAGGAAGAGGGACAAAAAGCAUUUAGGUAGCAACCAGCAGUCUCUGGUCUCAAUGCCCUGAUGAAAAGGGGAGAUGGGAUGGAGGGGUUGGGGCAAUGAGGGAGAGCAAAUGAGAGCUAUGACAGCGCCUAGGAGAGGGCACUUUAGAAGCUAGGAAAUUAAGCUUGGUAAGCUUUACCACAUGUCAGGGAGUACCGGGAACAGACGGCAGGAUUCCUGCAUGGGAGCUUCCACAGGACCCGGCCUCCCCACUGCCUCUCCACCACAUCACAGCUGUUGUUUAAAGAGGCCCCGGUGUAGAGUCCAGCUGUUGGAAGAGCAGCCCUUCUAUCGGCUUGGGCUGGCGAUGACAAAUCAGUUUGCACAGAGGUCCCUGGACAAGCGCAAUGACUCAGACAAGCAGCGUGUUUUUUCAGACUUUGUCACAUGCAGGGAAUGAGCUCUUUGGCAGGCCUUUUCUGAGCCAGCAUAGGAAGGGCUUGGGAGAGCUGGAGAAAUCUGAAGUGCACAGACAUCUGGCAUUGCCUGGAAAUGCAGACCAGGAGGCUGUCUUUGUUCAGUGAGCAACUAUUUGAGGAUUUACGGCAUGCUGAUAUGUGUGCUGAGAGGACAGAUGAGGUCCCUGCUCUCACAGAGUUUAUGUUCCAGAAGGAUGAACAACAAACAGUUGAACAAAUAAGAUAAUUUCAGAUGGGGCAAUGGAGAAAAGACAGGGCUACAUUAGAUAAGACUCAGAGAGUUCUCUUCAGGGAAGCAAGAAGUUUUUGUUGUUGUUUUCGGUUUGUUUUUGAGACAGUCUUCUCUGUUGCCCAGGCUGGAGUACAGUGGCAUGGUCUUGGCUCACUGCAACCUCAGCCUUCCGGGUUCAAGUGAUUCCCCUGCCACAGCCUCUUGAGUAGUGAGAUUACAGGUGCCUGCCACCAUGCUCGGCUAAUAUUUGUAUUUUUAGUAGAGAUGGAGUUUCGUCAUCUCUAUUUGGCCAGGCUGGUCUUGAACUCCUGGCCUCAAAUGAUCCGUCUGCCUCAGCCUCCAAAAGCGCUGAGAUCGCAGGCAUGAGCCACUGUGCCCGGUCGGCAAGAGUUGAUGGAUGAAGGAACCCAGAUGUGGGGAGAGCUUGUUGGGGGAAGAAUGUUCCCAGGGAAGAGUGAAGGGAAAGAGGCUGGAGUUUCUGGUCAGCCUGACCCAAGGUUGUCACCCCAGAGGACUGUGAAAUAGCAUGUGCAGUUAACUGGCCACUGCUGACCUUCGCCUGGAAGACAAUGUCUCCGUUGUUCGGGCUUUUGUUGGUCUGCUCUGGAACCAAUUCUUUUCUCCUGCAAAUUAUUGUAGGUUCCCCAGGGAACCAUGUGGUCCUUGCCCUUUAGCUGCUCUGCUCUGUGCUGGGGGUGGAGGGUGAGAGAAGAGACAGAACAGGGAGAAGGAGGAGAGGGGAGGCGGUCCCCUGUAGGUGGAUAUUUUAAGGCUCUUAAUGUCAGCUGUGGUUGGAACUGGCCAAGGGAGGCACUAACAAGAAGUUGGAGGGCUAGAAGAAAGAAACCAGUUUCUCUCCAAUUCUCUCUCUCUGUCUCAGGUGGUCAAAAUUUUAAGGAGACAGGAUCCAGCGGGGCUGGGAUUAGGAUGAAGUAAAUGAGGCUGAGUUGUGCAAAUACAAGGUCAGAUCCUGACCUUGUUCAUCGUGGAAUUUUUACGUUAAUGUUGAUGAUUUUUAAAUGUUGUAUCGAAAUAUUUAUCUUGAUGACUGACUUUCUGACAUUUCCUUAGGCUUCACCCCAAAGCAAGAGCCUUGCUUCUUCACCCUGGUCCCAGCCUUGCCUUCAAGUGUGUGGGACACAUUCACACACACAGAAAAAUAAGCCAUUUAAAUGGUCUAACUCUACUGGAUAUUCUCUAUGCUGCUUUCAUUCACUCAAUAAUGUGUAGUUGAGCACUUCUAUGCCAAUGAAUAUAGAUCCACAUCAUCCUGGGCUUGAAGAAUGUGUUAUCAGAUAUUUUACUAACCCCCCUGCCAUGGAUGCAUCUAGCAGGAUCUGUUCACACCCUACCCAUGUCUCUAAUAUUUCUGUGUACUCCAGCCAAAUUCCACUGCCCACUCUGCAUUUCUGAGUGGAAAGUCUUGUCUCAGAUCUGUGGAAUGUGAGGCUGUCUAUCACUUCAGCAGGGGAAACUGCCAUAGAAUUAACACCUGCCAGGAACAGCUCUUGACCAAUGACCAAGGGGAAAUUGGCGUAUAAAUUCUUCAGCUCCCUUAGCCAUUGGGUGGGACAACUCAGGUGUGUGCUGUACACUGCAUCCCAGAGCUUUCUCCAUGGGAACAAGCUCCAUGCCCACAGCAGUACUUGGCUUAAUAACCUGCCUUGAGUGGUUGCCUGCUCUUCUCCAUAUCACUUUUUCUUUCCCUCCUGGGGCUGUCUACACACCCACCCCACCCCACCCCACCCCAAUAACAACUGCUCUUGAAUCUUUGUCUCAGGAGCUGCUUAUGUGAAGAUGGACAUUCUGAUUAUUUUGAAUUUUUCAAUAUUAACAUUCACCACCUGUAUAGAUUUUGGCAUAUUAACAGCCCCCACCUCCUCCUUUGGGGAUAUGGUCCUCACAAACCAAGGGUAACAGAAGAAGGUAGAGAAAAGAGAAACUCUGCAAAGCUACCAUGCAGCUUAGAGUUACGUCCUAUAAAAUGAUCCUUUUCAGUAUGUGCUAUGGCAUCGAAAGUGUUCGGAGCAUUGUUCUCACCAGUCAGACUGUGCCUUCACUUCUGUAGCUCCAGUGAGUGACACAUAGUAGAUAAUGGAUAAAUACGUGUUGCGUGAAUGAAGGGAGAAGUAAUUGGCUAAUGCUCUGAGCCUCUGCCAAGCUGAGUAUAUGAGACCAUUUCAUUUACCUGUGCCAUUGAGCAUCUGUGCAAGGGCUCCCUAGUUCUACCAUCAAGACAGCGAAUGGUGUUAUACUCAGGUUAAGAAGGUGAGUCCAAGAGGGUUGUGCUGGAGGCAGAAAACAGGGGCCCAGUCUUUGGAGAUAAAACAUGCUCUGGUCCUAAAUGGCAGCAGGAGAAGAAUCUUCGCAAAGUGAGAGUCAGGCCACAAUACCUCCCCUGGGAGGACUUCUGUGCCUGUGUAUGUUGGAGAGAGAAGGAGCUUUUUCAUCCCAAGUAGAGAGGUUACAUCCCCUGUCUGCUUCCCCCUCUCUCUUUCCCUCUCUCCUGCUGUGAAGGCCAAGUAUGACUUCACAGAAUCCCCAAGCUCCAUAAAUCAGUUCUAGAUCCAUCCCACGUGGCUGUAAUGAAAGCAGGAUUUUAACAAAAACUGGAUGCUUCUACUGUUUCAAUUGCUAUCAGUUGAUUCUAGAAGCAUUUUUAUAAGAUGAGGAAGGAAAUCUAGUUAUUCCAAGAACUGACGACGGAAGGCUGUGACUUCUCCUGAAAUGUCCUCAUAGGAGCCCUGGCUUUUGAGUCCAUAGCACUCUCUCCCCCACCACCACCCAGCUGCCAACCCAGAUCAAGGCUGGCUUUGCUCAUGCAGUCUUCUUCAAUGGCUUACCCCAGACAGUGACCCAUCUGAUCAUGUCUGUACUCCUCCCCACACUGAAGAUUCCUGCUCUGCCCUGUAAUUCCCUUGGAGAACAGAUGCUCCCAUUCCAGAACCACCAAUACUGCUGGGAGUUUGCAUUUCAAGAGACAGCAGCCCUUUGGGAGGAGAGGAAAUAGUGGUCAGCCAUCCACUGUCACUCUGAAAGUUAAAUCUUUACCCACAAGGAGUUCACCUUGGAAACAACAGCCUGACCCAACUUCACACUAAACAUCCUAUGCCCUGCACACAGAUGGUCCUUUUACCUGGGCCUGAUGAGGAAGGCCAAGCUUAGGAUUUGUGUCAUAUGAAGGCUUAUUCUCAGCAGCCUGGAUCCUUGGUAUCGUCCAAAAGGUAACUUUUCAGCUUCCCAUAAAUCAUUCAUUGAUCUGCACUACAUCAUCUUUGCAGGACAACUGCAUAGAAGUAACGUCCCAACCCAGCUGACCAACCUGAGUUGGAAGCAAGAGCUUCCUGCAUAACUUUUUAGUGGCCUCCCUGCAGGAUCGGUU